UAUAGGGGCAAACCAUCUGAAAAGUUGGGACGCAAAGCCGUGAAUCUAAGGUUAUACUAUGAUUGUCUGGUUGC
Molecule: non-coding RNA, 74 nt
Filed under: human gut metagenome
Description: Cyclic di-GMP-I riboswitch
Rfam family: c-di-GMP-I riboswitch aptamer
About the family: GEMM was predicted in a large-scale screen for bacterial structured RNA regulatory elements. Genes associated with GEMM are involved in a diverse array of functions, including chemotaxis regulation, signal transduction, secretion and chitin.
Source: RNAcentral